CAACACAAGGUACUUUUCUUUAUCUUUGUUGUGUUUCUUCUUCUGUAUUCAUUGCUUCAUUUUUGUUUCUUAGCAAACCUUUUGCUGUGUAAUUAUAUACUGCUUCGUAUUUGAAUAAAAUUUGUUUCAGUGCUGAUUGUGUCCGUUAUUUUUUCGUUGGUUAUACUUUGAUUUAGUAUUAGGGUAAAUUUGUAGUUGUUGUUUAUUGCCUUUUUUGUCGUUUCAUUUGGUUAAAUUUGCAGAUCUGAAGUGUAAUUGAUAGUAUUUCAAUUUUCGGUGCAUACACCAGACAUUAAUAUGUUCCUCGAGUUCGUCUAUUUUAUGGAGUUUUAUUGAAAUUAAAUUUAAUUGAAGACUCGUGGUUGGAUGUAGCCUUCAUUUGACUUCCUUAAACUUGAUAUUUUUCAUAAUCAGCAUUACAUAGUUUCAUAACUUUUAAAAUUUCGUGCUUGGUUACAUAAGAUGCCACCAAAUUGACUUAUAUAAAAUUGAAGCAAUAGCUGUAGAUAACAACUCAUUCCUUCGAUUUUCUUUCUUUGGUGAUAAUUUGAUCGAAUUUCGGGUGAGUUAUUGGCUCCACAAUUGCAAGAAAUCUAUUUUCAAAUUUUGCAUAUUAUGUGUUUGACAAAAUGUUUGAGAGAACCCUGCGAAUUUUUCUUUACAUUCUUGAGAUUGUCUCUUACUGAUUCUUUUCUUCUUCUUUUUGUUGCAGGGAUUAAAGUAGAAGCUUGAGAUUAGAGCUAAGAUCAGAGCUGCUGCAGAACUUUGAUUUCCCUUCGACUUCUUUUCUUGAAAGAAAUUUGGUAAGGUAUGUUUUCGGCAUUUAUAAGAGCUUUGCCUCUGUAGUCUGCACAUCACUUGCUCGAUGAAUUGUUUUGUCUAUAGGUUCCUUGACUUCCAUUUCAAUCUUAAGAAAGUAGUGAAAGGGCACGGUUUUUAUUUUCUCUAUCAAUUUUCUAAUAUCAAUAUGAGCAUAAAAGAUUCACUUUGUGAUGUGGGAUUGGUGGAAAUAUUCUAAUUUUGUCAGAAAUGUUCCAGUUCUCUUAAGUGCAGCAAUAAGUCCUCCUGUAAUGUCCAUCAUUGGUAUCGCUGUGUUAUAAAAACUCUCAUUACUCCUUGCCUUAUACAACUAUUGUAAGAAUGCUCAAUUAGCUUCCUUUGUGAUCUUUUCCAGUCUCUGUUUAUUUUUUUACACUUCUUUAAUUCUUACAUGUUUCUUUUUGCUUAUCAUGCAUUUAAUAUCUUUGCAGAGCUCAAAUAUGUUUCCCAAAGCAAUUGUUGCAUGAGAAAGUGACAACCAAUAGGUUCUUUAUUUUUAUUUUUAUUUUUUGACAAGAGUGCAAUGUUUUUAAUUUGCC
Molecule: long non-coding RNA, 1358 nt
Filed under: Salvia miltiorrhiza (redroot sage)
Lineage: Eukaryota; Viridiplantae; Streptophyta; Magnoliopsida; Lamiales; Lamiaceae
Description: long non-coding RNA (SMIL_LNC006065)
Source: RNAcentral